Molecule: ribosomal RNA, 514 nt
Filed under: Helicobacter pylori
Lineage: Bacteria; Pseudomonadati; Campylobacterota; Epsilonproteobacteria; Campylobacterales; Helicobacteraceae
Description: partial 23S ribosomal RNA
Rfam family: Bacterial large subunit ribosomal RNA
Source: RNAcentral
AGGUGCCGCAGCAAUGCGGUCUCAGCAAAGAGUCCCUCCCGACUGUUUACCAAAAACACAGCACUUUGCCAACUCGUAAGAGGAAGUAUAAGGUGUGACGCCUGCCCGGUGCUCGAAGGUUAAGAGGAUGCGUCAGUCGCAAGAUGAAGCGUUGAAUUGAAGCCCGAGUAAACGGCGGCCGUAACUAUAACGGUCCUAAGGUAGCGAAAUUCCUUGUCGGUUAAAUACCGACCUGCAUGAAUGGCGUAACGAGAUGGGAGCUGUCUCAACCAGAGAUUCAGUGAAAUUGUAGUGGAGGUGAAAAUUCCUCCUACCCGCGGCAAGACGGAAAGACCCCGUGGACCUUUACUACAACUUAGCACUGCUAAUGGGAAUAUCAUGCGCAGGAUAGGUGGGAGGCUUUGAAGUAAGGGCUUUGGCUCUUAUGGAGCCAUCCUUGAGAUACCACCCUUGAUGUUUCUGUUAGCUAACUGGCCUGUGUUAUCCACAGGCAGGACAAUGCUUGGUGGGUAGU